GAUCCUGGCUCAGAUUGAACGCUGGCGGAAUGCUUUACACAUGCAAGUCGAACGGUAGAGGGGGCAACCCUCGAGAGUGGCGAACGGGUGAGUAAUAUAUCGGAACGUGCCCAGUCGUGGGGGAUAACGUAGCGAAAGUUACGCUAAUACCGCAUACGAUCUACGGAUGAAAGCGGGGGAUCGCAAGACCUCGCGCGAUUGGAGCGGCCGAUAUCAGAUUAGGUAGUUGGUGGGGUAAAGGCUCACCAAGCCAACGAUCUGUAGCUGGUCUGAGAGGACGACCAGCCACACUGGAACUGAGACACGGUCCAGACUCCUACGGGAGGCAGCAGUGGGGAAUUUUGGACAAUGGACGCAAGUCUGAUCCAGCCAUUCCGCGUGCAGGAUGAAGGCCCUCGGGUUGUAAACUGCUUUUGUACGGAACGAAAAGGUUUCUAUUAAUACUAGGAGCUCAUGACGGUACCGUAAGAAUAAGCACCGGCUAACUACGUG
This 492-nucleotide ribosomal RNA is filed under the name uncultured bacterium. RNAcentral describes it as "bacterial SSU rRNA". It matches the Rfam family "Bacterial small subunit ribosomal RNA", at positions 15 to 507 of the family's 1533-position model. The record is from RNAcentral.